GAUGAAGAACGUAGCGAAAUGCGAUACGUAAUGUGAAUUGCAGAAUUCAGUGAAUCAUCGAAUCUUUGAACGCAUAUUGCGCUCUCUGGUAUUCCGGAGAGCAUGCUUGUUUGAGUAUCAGUAAACACCUCAACUUCCAUAUCUUUUUUGAAAUGGGAGUUGGACUUGAGUGAUCCCAACGCUUUUCCUCACCGAAAAGUGGCGGGUUACUUGAAAUGCAGGUGCAGCUGGACUUUUCUCUGAGCUUAUAAGCAUAUCUAUUUAGUCUGCCUAAAAAACAGAUUAUUACCUUUGCUGCAGCUAACAUAAAGGAGAUUAGUUCUUGUGCUGACUGUUGCAGGAUUCACAAAGACAGGCUUCGGCCGACUUUGUAAACUCGAUCUCAAAUCAAGUAAGACUACCCGCUGAACUUAAGCAUAUCAAUAAGCGGAGGA
Molecule: unclassified non-coding RNA, 434 nt
Filed under: soil metagenome
Description: partial contains 5.8S ribosomal RNA, internal transcribed spacer 2, and large subunit ribosomal RNA
Rfam family: 5.8S ribosomal RNA (bases 1-120)
Source: RNAcentral